GGAAACCGGAGCGCGUUCAGCGCGAGCCGAGCCGAGCCGAAAACCGGAGGACAGAAUGAUCAGAUCAUGUUGCUGCUUCAGCUCUGGAUGACAAUGUGGAUGAAGUUGUUGCCUCUCUGUUCCACCUGUAAUUCCCUAUCUGCUGCUGAUGUUGUCUGUGCUUCUUGCAAAGAUUUCCAUUGGCUGCCCUCCUUCACCUAUGGGACUAGAGAUCAAGUUGCUGCCAUACGAUAAACUGCAACUGGAACUGUCUGUUAUGGACAAUUAUAUUUUUUGUGGUUCAUGGCUGAUUCAACCUGCUGAUCUUUGUGUUUAUCAACACAGAGCAUUAAGAACAUCAAGUGAAGCUGAGAACCAAACAACAGCUACACAAACUCUCUUUGGGAUGGAUGCUCAGGUUCAUGAAACUGUCUGCUCCUGCCAUAUGAGUAAGCUCAAAGACAAACUUGUCAAUUCACACCCUCUUCAGCAAAAACCUCUACCAGAACCUGGCUGUGUACAUAGUUUGGUCAUUUAAUACUGUUGAAUCCAACUAGAGGUUUUCCUAAACCCAGUGGCAGCACACCAACUCCAGCAAGGCCUUCUAUUCUGGCCUAUCAGAAUCAUUGACAGAAUCGUUUUAAUAUCUUUAUGUCCAUCAAUAUGUAUUACAUUUUUUCCAAUUCUAUUCUCUUCAUUUCAUAGUGUUUCUCUUGUUUGCACUGCUGAAAGUGUAUGCUUACUUUGGAAUUUCUUUCCAAUUAUAUUUCAGCUGUCACAGAAUGUGUUGCCAAGCUCAACGGUAUCUAUUUGCCUUAAACCUUCCUGAUUUAUAUAUAUAAAACCCGAUGUAUGAGUGCCGUUUAGUACGACAAUAUCGAUGUACAAGUGGUUUUACUUGUAAAAAACUUUGUAGGAGUACAAGCAUAUUUCGGGAAGACGAGCAAUUCUUUUGAGGCGUUUGGUUCCAGUCACACAUUCUGCUCAUCGCUCAGCACCUCUGUCCCCACGAUUAAUGCUCAGUUGCAUCAUAAACAUUGUUCUGACUGUAUUCACAUCAUCCUCUUGUGUAAAUAUUGUGCUAUUUGUCUGUUUUUAUAGUGUUUUUGUUUUAUUUGCAUCAUGGGUCCCAAGAAGUGUAGUGAUACCGCUGAAAACAAGGUUGUAGAAAGAAUAACCACUGAAAUAAAGAAAUAGUAGAAAAGCA
This is a long non-coding RNA of Silurus meridionalis, 1186 nucleotides long. RefSeq lists it as uncharacterized. The transcript is spliced from 2 exons. The record is from RefSeq and is a predicted model, not a curated record. Lineage: Eukaryota; Metazoa; Chordata; Actinopteri; Siluriformes; Siluridae.